GAAAAGAUGAAAAUUCAAAGUUCAAAUGAUGGUUUCUACAGAGUAUGUAUUGCUUUCACACCAUCAUAAAUGCAAAAAAGUCAUAAGUUGAACCAUUGACAUGACUCCAGAGCAUGAAUGAGUGAAUGACACCUUGGGAAGAAAACUUUGAACACAAAUAUAAUUCAAGCAAUGGACUGACAGAGAUGCCAUGCUGAGACUGAAGAGAAGGGAGUUGGCAGCAAUUGCUGAGAAAUGGAUCAAGCCAGAAUUCUCUUAAUGCAUUGAGGGGAAUCUAAACUACUUUUGGUGAAGACUGAAUGGCAAGCAGUCAAAAAAAAAAGAACAUUGGAGGCAGCCCCGGUGGCUCAGCGGUUUAGCACCGCCUUCAGCCCAGGGUGUGGUCCUGGCGACCCGGGAUC
Canis lupus familiaris (dog) is the source of this 401-nucleotide long non-coding RNA. RefSeq lists it as uncharacterized. NCBI's taxonomy places the organism in Eukaryota, Metazoa, Chordata, Mammalia, Carnivora, Canidae. The transcript has 3 exons. The record is from RefSeq and is a predicted model, not a curated record.